CCUGGCGCUGCUUACCAUGCAAGUCGAACGGAGAUUCAGCAAUGGAUCUUAGUGGCGAACGGGUGAGUAACGCGUAGGCAAUCUGCCUUCUAGAUGGGGACAACAUCCCGAAAGGGGUGCUAAUACCGAAUGUUGUACCGUUUCCGCAUGGAGAUGAUACUAAAGGUGGCCUCUGAAUAUGCUACCGCUAGAAGAUGAGCCUGCGUCUGAUUAGCUAGUUGGAGGGGUAACGGUCCACCAAGGCUUCGAUCAGUAGCCGGUCUGAGAGGAUGAACGGCCACACUGGGACUGAGACACGGCCCAGACUCCUACGGGAGGCAGCAGUGGGGAAUCUUCCGCAAUGGACGAAAGUCUGACGGAGCAACGCCGCGUGAGUGAAGAAGGUUUUCGGAUCGUAAAGCUCUUUCGUUAGGGACGAACGUGCUCUUUGUGAAUAAUGAGGAGUAAUGACGGUACCUAAAUAAGAAGCCACGGCUAACUACGUGCCAGCAGCCGCGGUAAUACGUAGGUGGCAAGCGUUGUCCGGAAUUAUUGGGCGUAAAGCGCGCGCAGGCGGGAUAUCAAGUCUGUCUUAAAAGUGCGAGGCUCAACCUCGUGAGGGGACGGAAACUGGUAUUCUUGAGUGUCGGAGAGGAAAGUGGAAUUCCAAGUGUAGCGGUGAAUGCGUAGAGAUUUGGAAGAACACCAGUGGCGAAGGCGACUUUCUGGACGAUGUCUGACGCUGAGGCGCGAAAGCUAGGGGAGCGAACGGGAUUAGAUACCCCGGUAGUCCUAGCCGUAAACGAUGGGUACUAGGUGUAGGGGGUAUCGACCCCUCCUG
RNAcentral lists this ribosomal RNA (820 nucleotides) under uncultured Anaerovibrio sp. Its description in RNAcentral is "bacterial SSU rRNA". It matches the Rfam family "Bacterial small subunit ribosomal RNA", at positions 38 to 843 of the family's 1533-position model. The record is from RNAcentral. Lineage: Bacteria; Bacillati; Bacillota; Negativicutes; Selenomonadales; Selenomonadaceae.